AGAGUUUGAUCCUGGCUCAGAGUGAACGCUGGCGGUAGGCCUAACACAUGCAAGUCGAACGGCAGCACAGGAGAGCUUGCUCUCUGGGUGGCGAGUGGCGGACGGGUGAGGAAUACAUCGGAAUCUACUUUUUCGUGGGGGAUAACGUAGGGAAACUUACGCUAAUACCGCAUACGACCUACGGGUGAAAGCAGGGGAUCUUCGGACCUUGCGCGAUUGAAUGAGCCGAUGUCGGAUUAGCUAGUUGGCGGGGUAAAGGCCCACCAAGGCGACGAUCCGUAGCUGGUCUGAGAGGAUGAUCAGCCACACUGGAACUGAGACACGGUCCAGACUCCUACGGGAGGCAGCAGUGGGGAAUAUUGGACAAUGGGCGCAAGCCUGAUCCAGCCAUACCGCGUGGGUGAAGAAGGCCUUCGGGUUGUAAAGCCCUUUUGUUGGGAAAGAAAUCCAGCUGGUUAAUACCCGGUUGGGAUGACGGUACCCAAAGAAUAAGCACCGGCUAACUUCGUGCCAGCAGCCGCGGUAAUACGAAGGGUGCAAGCGUUACUCGGAAUUACUGGGCGUAAAGCGUGCGUAGGUGGUCGUUUAAGUCCGUUGUGAAAGCCCUGGGCUCAACCUGGGAACUGCAGUGGAUACUGGACGACUAGAGUGUGGUAGAGGGUAGCGGAAUCCCUGGUGUAGCAGUGAAAUGCGUAGAGAUCAGGAGGAACAUCCAUGGCGAAGGCAGCUACCUGGACCAACACUGACACUGAGGCACGAAAGCG
Molecule: ribosomal RNA, 764 nt
Filed under: uncultured bacterium
Lineage: Bacteria
Description: bacterial SSU rRNA
Rfam family: Bacterial small subunit ribosomal RNA
Source: RNAcentral